This 465-nucleotide ribosomal RNA is filed under the name uncultured Klebsiella sp. RNAcentral describes it as "bacterial SSU rRNA". It matches the Rfam family "Bacterial small subunit ribosomal RNA", at positions 338 to 795 of the family's 1533-position model. Lineage: Bacteria; Pseudomonadati; Pseudomonadota; Gammaproteobacteria; Enterobacterales; Enterobacteriaceae. The record is from RNAcentral.
ACUACGGGUGGCAGCAGUGGGGAAUAUUGCACAAUGGGCGCAAGCCUGAUGCAGCCAUGCCGCGUGUGUGAAGAAGGCCUUCGGGUUGUAAAGCACUUUCAGCGGGGAGGAAGGCGUUAAGGUUAAUAACCUUGACGAUUGACGUUACCCGCAGAAGAAGCACCGGCUAACUCCGUGCCAGCAGCCGCGGUAAUACGGAGGGUGCAAGCGUUAAUCGGAAUUACUGGGCGUAAAGCGCACGCAGGCGGUCUGUCAAGUCGGAUGUGAAAUCCCCGGGCUCAACCUGGGAACUGCAUUCGAAACUGGCAGGCUAGAGUCUUGUAGAGGGGGGUAGAAUUCCAGGUGUAGCGGUGAAAUGCGUAGAGAUCUGGAGGAAUACCGGUGGCGAAGGCGGCCCCCUGGACAAAGACUGACGCUCAGGUGCGAAAGCGUGGGGAGCAAACAGGAUUAGAUACCCCUGUAGUC